RNAcentral lists this ribosomal RNA (305 nucleotides) under uncultured bacterium. Its description in RNAcentral is "bacterial SSU rRNA". It matches the Rfam family "Bacterial small subunit ribosomal RNA", at positions 333 to 635 of the family's 1533-position model. The record is from RNAcentral.
GUAUCCCUACGGGAGGCAGCAGUGAGGAAUAUUGGUCAAUGGGCGAGAGUCUGAACCAGACAAGUCGCGUGAGGGAGGACGGCCCUACGGGUUGUAAACCUCUUUUGCCGGGGGACAAACGGCGGCACGCGUGCCGUCCUGAGGGUACCCGGAGAAAAAGCAUCGGCUAACUCCGUGCCAGCAGCCGCGGUAAUACGUAGGGAGCGAGCGUUGUCCGGAUUUACUGGGUGUAAAGGGUGCGUAGGCGGGUAAGCAAGUCAGAAGUGAAAUCCAUGGGCUUAACCCAUGAACUGCUUUUGAAACUG